GGGACACGUGGUAUCCUGUCUGAAUAUGGGGGGACCAUCCUCCAAGGCUAAAUACUCCUGACUGACCGAUAGUGAACCAGUACCGUGAGGGAAAGGCGAAAAGAACCCCGGCGAGGGGAGUGAAAAAGAACCUGAAACCGUGUACGUACAAGCAGUGGGAGCACGCUUAGGCGUGUGACUGCGUACCUUUUGUAUAAUGGGUCAGCGACUUAUAUUCUGUAGCAAGGUUAACCGAAUAGGGGAGCCGAAGGGAAACCGAGUCUUAACUGGGCGUUAAGUUGCAGGGUAUAGACCCGAAACCCGGUGAUCUAGCCAUGGGCAGGUUGAAGGUUGGGUAACACUAACUGGAGGACCGAACCGACUAAUGUUGAAAAAUUAGCGGAUGACUUGUGGCUGGGGGUGAAAGGCCAAUCAAACCGGGAGAUAGCUGGUUCUCCCCGAAAGCUAUUUAGGUAGCGCCUCGUGAACUCAUCUCCGGGGGUAGAGCACUGUUUCGGCAAGGGGGUCAUCCCGACUUACCAACCCGAUGCAAACUGCGAAUACCGGAGAAUGUUAUCACGGGAGACACACGGCGGGUGCUAACGUCCGUCGUGAAGAGGGAAACAACCCAGACCGCCAGCUAAGGUCCCAAAGUCAUGGUUAAGUGGGAAACGAUGUGGGAAGGCCCAGACAGCCAGGAUGUUGGCUUAGAAGCAGCCAUCAUUUAAAGAAAGCGUAAUAGCUCACUGGUCGAGUCGGCCUGCGCGGAAGAUGUAACGGGGCUAAACCAUGCACCGAAGCUGCGGCAGCGACGCUUAUGCGUUGUUGGGUAGGGGAGCGUUCUGUAAGCCUGUGAAGGUGUACUGUGAGGUAUGCUGGAGGUAUCAGAAGUGCGAAUGCUGACAUAAGUAACGAUAAAGCGGGUGAAAAGCCCGCUCGCCGGAAGACCAAGGGUUCCUGUCCAACGUUAAUCGGGGCAGGGUGAGUCGACCCCUA
RNAcentral lists this ribosomal RNA (975 nucleotides) under Escherichia coli. RNAcentral's name for it is "partial 23S ribosomal RNA". It matches the Rfam family "Bacterial large subunit ribosomal RNA", at positions 419 to 1393 of the family's 2925-position model. The record is from RNAcentral. Lineage: Bacteria; Pseudomonadati; Pseudomonadota; Gammaproteobacteria; Enterobacterales; Enterobacteriaceae.